Molecule: long non-coding RNA, 465 nt
Organism: Grammomys surdaster
Lineage: Eukaryota; Metazoa; Chordata; Mammalia; Rodentia; Muridae
Exons: 3
Source: RefSeq, a predicted model, not a curated record
UUAAGCCUGUAAGUGCAGUUGUUGGUGAGUCACGCAUGCUCAUGAGAUUUCAUCAUGCCAUCAGAUGACAUGGUCUCUAAUGGCUGGCCUACUGUGCAGCAGCAUGGAUCCAGGCUCUAGUACACUUCGGGUUUAGUGCCUGACAACUGGCCAGACUGUGCUGUGGAUGGAGCGUUACUUGUUAGUGACCCAUCAUGCAUGCCUUGGUUAAUGGAAACCCUGGCAUUUUUGCUCACCAAGUUCCCUGCUUUGGAGAAUUUCUUGAGGAAGACCAGAAGCAUGAACACCUGAAUGUCACUGGUGCCUGUACUGAGCCAUGAGAUUUGAGCACAAACAUACAGUGUUUCCUGCAUGAUGCUCCAAUAAGAAGUCACUACACAGAGCCUUAAGAAGUUAAUGUGAGAAAUGGACACAUAAAACAUGGAACUCCAUUUGUCUGGAUGUUUACAAAGCAUUUGGCUUUCU